UAAAAGAUAGACUAUUUAAAGUCAUUAGAUUCAUAAUCUAAAAAUAUAUUAAAUUAUUCUUUUAA
This 65-nucleotide transfer RNA is filed under the name Eurytoma sp. ZJUH_2016013. Its description in RNAcentral is "tRNA-Met". Lineage: Eukaryota; Metazoa; Arthropoda; Insecta; Hymenoptera; Eurytomidae. The record is from RNAcentral.